GACGAACGCUGGCGGCGUGCCUAAUACAUGCAAGUUGAGCGCUGAAGGUUGGUACUUGUACCGACUGGAUGAGCAGCGAACGGGUGAGUAACGCGUGGGGAAUCUGCCUUUGAGCGGGGGACAACAUUUGGAAACGAAUGCUAAUACCGCAUAAAGACUUUAAACACAAGUUUUAAGUUUGAAAGAUGCAAUUGCAUCACUCAAAGAUGAUCCCGCGUUGUAUUAGCUAGUUGGUGAGGUAAAGGCUCACCAAGGCGAUGAUACAUAGCCGACCUGAGAGGGUGAUCGGCCACAUUGGGACGGAGACACGGCCCAAACUCCUACGGGAGGCAGCAGUAGGGAAUCUUCGGCAAUGGACGAAAGUCUGACCGAGCAACGCCGCGUGAGUGAAGAAGGUUUUCGGAUCGUAAAACUCUGUUGGUAGAGAAGAACGUUGGUGAGAGUGGAAAGCUCAUCAAGUGACGGUAACUACCCAGAAAGGGACGGCUAACUACGUGCCAGCAGCCGCCGUAA
RNAcentral lists this ribosomal RNA (513 nucleotides) under uncultured bacterium. RNAcentral's name for it is "partial 16S ribosomal RNA". It matches the Rfam family "Bacterial small subunit ribosomal RNA", at positions 28 to 523 of the family's 1533-position model. The record is from RNAcentral.